CGGAACUGUGGAGCGCAGGGACUGGUCUGGGGCCUCCAAGGUUUCAGGUUUUCUAAAAGCACUUGGCUUAUCCAAGAGUAGACUUCCGUAAGCCCCAAAGCCUGGGGACAGCUGCACAUUCACUAAGAGCCGAAAGAAGUGCCUCGGGCCAGGGAAACUUUCCAGCCACGACCCGAGGACAAGGCGACUCUUACACAGCCCUCCCACACUGGGAGACCUCCAGAAAGCGCCUCGCCGUGUCCACCUCCAAACCACCAGUCACGUGCG
Long non-coding RNA from Heterocephalus glaber (naked mole-rat), 267 nucleotides. NCBI's taxonomy places the organism in Eukaryota, Metazoa, Chordata, Mammalia, Rodentia, Bathyergidae. The record is from Ensembl.